RNAcentral lists this ribosomal RNA (253 nucleotides) under uncultured bacterium. RNAcentral's name for it is "partial 16S ribosomal RNA". It matches the Rfam family "Bacterial small subunit ribosomal RNA", at positions 524 to 776 of the family's 1533-position model. The record is from RNAcentral.
UACGAAGGGGGCUAGCGUUGCUCGGAUUGACUGGGCGUAAAGGGCGCGUAGGCGGUUUGCAUUGUCAGACGUGAAAUUCCUGGGCUUAACCUGGGGGCUGCGUUUGAUACAUGCAGGCUUGAGUUCGGAAGAGGGUCGUGGAAUUCCCAGUGUAGAGGUGAAAUUCGUAGAUAUUGGGAAGAACACCGGUGGCGAAGGCGGCGACCUGGUCCGAUACUGACGCUGAGGCGCGAAAGCGUGGGGAGCAAACAGG